Molecule: long non-coding RNA, 639 nt
Filed under: Physcomitrium patens
Lineage: Eukaryota; Viridiplantae; Streptophyta; Bryopsida; Funariales; Funariaceae
Description: long non-coding RNA (PPAT_LNC004728)
Source: RNAcentral
GUAGAAUAGAUAUUAAUUCGUUUUUGAAAGAUAUUGGUAAAAUAUAUUAAUAGUCCAUAUAAUAAAAAAUUCAAGAGGAUGGAUGAGUGAUUUAGUUAUUAAUAGUGAUUAAUUACAGAAUUAUGGUUAGAAUCUGAAGAAUCAGGGGAAAGUAUAUAGGAGUUGUAGAAGUUAAUUAGGAUGCCAGACUGUGAUAGUCAUGAGCCGAGGGCCAUUGGGCCAUUGCUAUGAUAGUUGUGAGCCGGGGUAAGCUUGAUGCUACCACUUUUCUUUUGUUUGUUAUUUUCUUUGAAUAAGAGGAUUGAGAGUUUCUGAAUAGUGUGAAGUGAAUUAUAGAAUGGAAAUGUGAUUGAUAUUAUUUGAGAAGAAAAAAGAUUGAAUGCAGAAAUCUGAUUGUAGUUCAGCAGAGAGAAUGAGUCUGUGUUUGUGUGAAAUAUUGUAAUGUGAAUGGCAGUUCUGUGUGAAGAAUUCCAGUGAUUGGAAUGAGGGUAAUUGUGUGCUGAAAGUUGUGAGGGCACAAUAUUACAGUUGGAGAUUAUGAGGGUGAAUAUAUUAGUGAAAAUAGCAGUUAUUGGUAUGACUGAAUUGCUGUAAGGAAGAGACCGAUAAGGUGAAGGAGGAGAUUAUAGUUUCCUUGUG